Molecule: ribosomal RNA, 586 nt
Filed under: uncultured bacterium
Lineage: Bacteria
Description: partial 16S ribosomal RNA
Rfam family: Bacterial small subunit ribosomal RNA
Source: RNAcentral
UGGGGAAUUUUGGACAAUGGGCGAAAGCCUGAUCCAGCAAUGCCGCGUGUGUGAAGAAGGCCUUCGGGUUGUAAAGCACUUUUGUCCGGAAAGAAAUCCUUGGCUCUAAUACAGUCGGGGGAUGACGGUACCGGAAGAAUAAGCACCGGCUAACUACGUGCCAGCAGCCGCGGUAAUACGUAGGGUGCAAGCGUUAAUCGGAAUUACUGGGCGUAAAGCGUGCGCAGGCGGUUUGCUAAGACCGAUGUGAAAUCCCCGGGCUCAACCUGGGAACUGCAUUGGUGACUGGCAGGCUAGAGUAUGGCAGAGGGGGGUAGAAUUCCACGUGUAGCAGUGAAAUGCGUAGAGAUGUGGAGGAAUACCGAUGGCGAAGGCAGCCCCCUGGGCCAAUACUGACGCUCAUGCACGAAAGCGUGGGGAGCAAACAGGAUUAGAUACCCUGGUAGUCCACGCCCUAAACGAUAUCAACUAGUUGUUGGGGAUUCAUUUCCUUAGUAACGUAGCUAACGCGUGAAGCUGACCGCCUGGGGGAGUACGGUCGCAAGAUUAAAACUUAAAGGAAUUGACGGGGUCAUAGCUGUUUCCU